This 253-nucleotide ribosomal RNA is filed under the name uncultured bacterium. Its description in RNAcentral is "partial 16S ribosomal RNA". It matches the Rfam family "Bacterial small subunit ribosomal RNA", at positions 524 to 776 of the family's 1533-position model. The record is from RNAcentral.
UACGUAGGCAGCAAGCGUUGUUCGGAAUUACUGGGCGUAAAGAGUGUGUAGGCGGUGCUCUAAGUUCGGUGUGAAAUCUCCCGGCUUAACUGGGAGGGUGCGCCGGAAACUGGAGUGCUCGAGCGUGGGAGAGGAAAGCGGAAUUCCUGGUGUAGCGGUGAAAUGCGUAGAUAUCAGGAGGAACACCGGUGGCGAAGGCGGGUCUCUGGGCCGAUACUGACGCUGAGGAGCGAAAGCGUGGGGAGCGAACAGG